UUUCGAAUCAUUCACAAUGGGCGAAAGCCUGAUGGUGCGACGCCGCGUGAGGGACGAAGGCCUUCGGGUCGUAAACCUCUGUCACCGGGGAAGAAACACUGCAUAUUAAUCGUAUGCAGUCUGACUUAACCCGGAGAGGAAGCAGUGGCUAACUCUGUGCCAGCAGCCGCGGUAAUACAGAGACUGCAAGCGUUAUUCGGAUUCACUGGGCGUAAAGGGUGCGCAGGCGGUCGUGUGUGUCAGAUGUGAAAUCCCGGAGCUUAACUCCGGAACUGCGUCUGAAACUACACGACUAGAGCAUUGGAGAGGGAAGUGGAAUUCAUGGUGUAGCAGUGAAAUGCGUAGAUAUCAUGAGGAACACCAGAGGCGAAGGCGACUUCCUGGACAAUUGCUGACGCUCAGGCACGAAAGCAUGGGGAGCAAAAGGG
RNAcentral lists this ribosomal RNA (428 nucleotides) under uncultured bacterium. RNAcentral's name for it is "bacterial SSU rRNA". It matches the Rfam family "Bacterial small subunit ribosomal RNA", at positions 355 to 776 of the family's 1533-position model. The record is from RNAcentral.